AUUGAACGCUGGCGGCAGGCCUAACACAUGCAAGUCGAGCGGAUGAAGGGAGCUUGCUCCUGGAUUCAGCGGCGGACGGGUGAGUAAUGCCUAGGAAUCUGCCUGGUAGUGGGGGAUAACGUCCGGAAACGGGCGCUAAUAUCGCAUACGUCCGGGGGGAGAAAGUGGGGGAUCUUCGGACCUCACGCUAUCAGAUGAGCCUAGGUCGGAUUAGCUAGUUGGUGGGGUAAAGGCCUACCAAGGCGACGAUCCGUAACUGGUCUGAGAGGAUGAUCAGUCACACUGGAACUGAGACACGGUCCAGACUCCUACGGGAGGCAGCAGUGGGGAAUAUUGGACAAUGGGCGAAAGCCUGAUCCAGCCAUGCCGCGUGUGUGAAGAAGGUCUUCGGAUUGUAAAGCACUUUAAGUUGGGAGGAAGGGCAGUAAGUUAAUACCUUGCUGUUUUGACGUUACCAACAGAAUAAGCACCGGCUAACUUCGUG
Molecule: ribosomal RNA, 484 nt
Filed under: uncultured bacterium
Lineage: Bacteria
Description: partial 16S ribosomal RNA
Rfam family: Bacterial small subunit ribosomal RNA
Source: RNAcentral